CCUACGGGAGGCAGCAGUGGGGAAUAUUGGGCAAUGGGCGCAAGCCUGACCCAGCAACGCCGCGUGAAGGAAGAAGGCUUUCGGGUUGUUAACUUCUUUUAAGCGGGAAGAGCAGAAGACGGUACCUCUUGAAUAAGCCACGGCUAAAGACGUGCCAGCAGCCGCGGUAAUACGUAGGUGGCAAGUGUUGUCCGGAGUUACUGGGUGUAAAGGGCGUGCAGCCGGGAAGACAAGUCAGGUGUGAAAUCCCGGGGCGCAAACGCGGAACUGCAUUUGAACCUGUUUUUCUUGAGUACCGGAGAGGUCAUCGGAAUUCCGUGUGUAGCGGUGAAAUGCGUAGAUAUAAGGAAGAACACCAGUGGCGAAGGCGGAUGACUGGACGGCAACUGACGGUGAGGCGCGAAAGCGUGGGGAGCAAACAGGAUUAGAUACCCCUGUAGUC
This 442-nucleotide ribosomal RNA is filed under the name uncultured bacterium. RNAcentral describes it as "partial 16S ribosomal RNA". It matches the Rfam family "Bacterial small subunit ribosomal RNA", at positions 338 to 795 of the family's 1533-position model. The record is from RNAcentral.